RNAcentral lists this ribosomal RNA (253 nucleotides) under uncultured bacterium. RNAcentral's name for it is "partial 16S ribosomal RNA". It matches the Rfam family "Bacterial small subunit ribosomal RNA", at positions 524 to 776 of the family's 1533-position model. The record is from RNAcentral.
UACGUAGGUGGCGAGCGUUGUCCGGAUUUACUGGGCGUAAAGAGCGCGCAGGCGGUCGUAUAAGUCGCGUGUGAAAGCCCCCGGCUCAACUGGGGAGGGUCACGCGAUACUGUUCGACUCGAAGGCAGGAGAGGGAAGUGGAAUUCCCGGUGUAGUGGUGAAAUGCGUAGAUAUCGGGAGGAACACCAGUGGCGAAGGCGACUUCCUGGCCUGUUCUUGACGCUGAGGCGCGAAAGCUAGGGUCGCAAACGGG